AUGGAGAAAAACGAAAGGACGGUGCCUGCCGCCCCCGGAGACCGCGCCUCUGGCGGUGCCGCGUCCUGCUCGCUGGACCCCUCAGGGCCCUGGGGGGGGGGGUCUCCAGCCCCGGCUGCGGCCCCGCCCCUCUGUACCGCUCGUCCCCGCCCCGCGGCCAAGACCAGGGGCGCGCACUGCAGCCGGGGCCGGGCCGCUCGCUCGCCUCCGCCGCCCUCGCCGCCGCGUCCCGCUAAUGCUGAUGCGCCUCUAAGCAGCCCCCGGUCCCGGAGCCCCUCCCCCCAACCCGUCCCGGAGCACAUCCCCCCCCCGUCCCGGAGCUCCCCUGUCCCGGGCGGCGGGCGGCGGGCGGCGGGCGGCGCUCCUGGGGCACCUGCCGCCCUGCGCGGGGACCCGCCUCGCAUCCCGCCCGCGCGCCGAUCCCUGCGGGGAGGUCCGACUCCGUGGGGUCCCCCGCCCGUGUCCGUGGGCUCCUCCCCGCCCGUGUCUGUAGGCUCUUCCCACACCAGUGUCCGUGGGCACCUUUCCCUCGUGUCCGUGGAUCCCUCCCGCCCGUGUCCGUGGGCUCCUUCCCCCCGUGUCCGUGGAUCCCUCCCGCCCGUGGGCUCCUCCCCGCCCGUGUCCGUGGGCUCCUCCCCACUUGCGUCCAUGGGAUCUCCCCCACCCGUGUCCGUGGGUCGUCCUCUCGUCCCCCCGCCCCUCUCCUCCCCGGGUGCGUUCUCCUCCCCUCCUCCCGUCUCCCUCCCUCCCUCCCCUCCCCUCCCCCCUCCUCUCCUCCCCGCGGGGGGCAGCCGGGGGCGGGGUGCGGGGGUGCGGGGCGCGGUCCGGGCCGUGGGGCGGCGGCGGCGGCCUGCGCGGCGGCGGGCGUCCCGGGCGGGCCCCGGGUGCGGUGACAUCACCGCCCGCCUCCCCGCCCGGUGCUGCCUCCGCGAGGCGCGUCGGUUGGGCCGUUUGCCCGCGUCCGCCGCCGCCAGGGCUCGUCCGGCCGGGCUCGGAGCCGGCAGCGCGGAGCGACGGGACCCGGAGGAGGAGCGAGGCGCGGGCGGGCGGCGCGGGCGGGAGCCCCCGGCGGCGGCAUGA
RNAcentral lists this long non-coding RNA (1080 nucleotides) under Canis lupus familiaris (dog). Its description in RNAcentral is "lncRNA (ENSCAFG00040004859.1)". Lineage: Eukaryota; Metazoa; Chordata; Mammalia; Carnivora; Canidae. The record is from RNAcentral.